UACAGAGGUCUCAAGCGUUGUUCGGAUUCAUUGGGCGUAAAGGGUGCGUAGGUGGCGCCAUAAGUCAGGUGUGAAAUCUCGGGGCUCAACCCCGAAACUGCACUUGAUACUGUGGUGCUCGAGUACUGGAGAGGAGAUUGGAAUUUACGGUGUAGCAGUGAAAUGCGUAGAUAUCGUAAGGAAGACCAGUGGCGAAGGCGGCUCACUGGCCCGUUUCUGACGCUCAUGCACGAUAGCGUGGGGAUCAAACAGG
This 253-nucleotide ribosomal RNA is filed under the name uncultured bacterium. Its description in RNAcentral is "partial 16S ribosomal RNA". It matches the Rfam family "Bacterial small subunit ribosomal RNA", at positions 524 to 776 of the family's 1533-position model. The record is from RNAcentral.